This 1016-nucleotide long non-coding RNA is filed under the name Monodelphis domestica (gray short-tailed opossum). RNAcentral describes it as "lncRNA (ENSMODG00000034790.2)". The record is from RNAcentral. Lineage: Eukaryota; Metazoa; Chordata; Mammalia; Didelphimorphia; Didelphidae.
GCCAUCAGGUGGGGCCAUGCAUGGAAAUGGAAUCAAGAAGAUGAGGUUCAAAUCCUGCUUCAGAUGCCUGGAGUCCUGGGGCUUCACCAGAUUGCCAAAGCUGUUCAAGACAGAAAAGUUAAGAAUCCUUGGACUGGGGCAGUUGGAUAGCACAAGAGAGCCACAGAUAUUUCCUUGUUGUGUGACUCUGGACAAGUCACUUACCCCCAGUGACAGAGCCCUUGCUGCUUUUCUGCCUUGGAAUGAUUCUAAGACAGAAGUGUUUAAAACAAAAUCUCUGGAUCAGUGGGUCUCCAAGUCCAUUAAGUUCUGAUACUCUGUGGUAAUAAUUUAUUCAGAUCCCUGAUUAAUUUGGGGACUAAAGGCAAGAGAGAAUAUUUUUUAAAGUGGAUCAAGGAUUUCUAUGAGGACUGGAAGACCUCCAUGAACUGAUGUGCAGUGAAAUAAGCAGAACCAGGAGAACAUUAUAUACAAAGACUGCAAUAUUGUGGGGUGAACAAACGUGAUUGACUUUGCUCCCAAAAGCAAUGCAAUGAACCAGGACAAUUCUGAGGGACUUAUGAGAAAGAAUGCUAUCCACAUCUAGAAAAAGAACUGUGGGAGUAGAAAUUCAGAAGAAAACAUGUGAUUUAUCACCUGUUUAUAUGGGUAUGUGAUUUAGGGUAUUGGUUUUAAAGGGCUGUUCUUUUACAAAAAUGAAUAAUAUGGAAAUGGGUUCAAGUGAUAAUAGAUUUAUGUAUAUAACCCAGUGGAAUUGCUUGUCAACUCCAGGAGGGAGGACAGACAAAGGGAGGGAGAAAACAUGAGUCAUCUGUAAACAUGGAAAAAAAUUAAAAGAUAUUUUUUUAAAAAGUGGAUUAAAUGAAGUGACUUACUGUUUAGUCCCAGCUAAUUUAAAUGGACUAGUUAAUUGAAAAGGAAAACCUCAAUUCAAAGUCUAGGAAAUUCAACCUAAAUUGUUUCUUAUUCAUAAAGUUUUCUUAGAUGAAUUCAGCAAAUUCAUUAGCAUUGUGGAG